GCCGAGUUCGCAGGCAAUGCGGUAGAAAACUGGUGAACUACCGGUAGUCGGAUCGCCUGCAGGCCGCAUAAAUGCUUGAAGUCGAACCGGACUCAAAAUCCGGUUUCCGAAAGGAAGUGAGGGUUCGAGUCCCUCUCCCGGCACCA
RNAcentral lists this transfer RNA (146 nucleotides) under Lysobacterales bacterium. RNAcentral's name for it is "tRNA-OTHER". The record is from RNAcentral. Lineage: Bacteria; Pseudomonadati; Pseudomonadota; Gammaproteobacteria; Lysobacterales.